RNAcentral lists this ribosomal RNA (180 nucleotides) under uncultured beta proteobacterium. Its description in RNAcentral is "partial 16S ribosomal RNA". It matches the Rfam family "Bacterial small subunit ribosomal RNA", at positions 336 to 508 of the family's 1533-position model. The record is from RNAcentral. Lineage: Bacteria; Pseudomonadati; Pseudomonadota; Betaproteobacteria.
CUCCUACGGGAGGCAGCAGUGGGGAAUUUUGGACAAUGGGGGAAACCCUGAUCCAGCCAUCCCGCGUGUGCGAUGAAGGCCUUCGGGUUGUAAAGCACUUUUGGCAGGGAAGAAACGGCGCCGGAUAAUACCUGGCGUCACUGACGGUACCUGCAGAAUAAGCACCGGCUAACUACGUGC